This 495-nucleotide ribosomal RNA is filed under the name uncultured bacterium. RNAcentral's name for it is "partial 16S ribosomal RNA". It matches the Rfam family "Bacterial small subunit ribosomal RNA", at positions 28 to 523 of the family's 1533-position model. The record is from RNAcentral.
GAUGAACGCUGGCGGCGUGCUUAACACAUGCAAGUCGAGCGAAGCACUUAAGUUCGAUUCUUCGGAUGAAGACUUUUGUGACUGAGCGGCGGACGGGUGAGUAACGCGUGGGUAACCUGCCUCAUACAGGGGGAUAACAGUUAGAAAUGGCUGCUAAUACCGCAUAAGACCACAGUACUGCAUGGUACAGUGGUAAAAACUCCGGUGGUAUGAGAUGGACCCGCGUCUGAUUAGGUAGUUGGUGAGGUAACGGCCCACCAAGCCGACGAUCAGUAGCCGACCUGAGAGGGUGACCGGCCACAUUGGGACUGAGACACGGCCCAGACUCCUACGGGAGGCAGCAGUGGGGAAUAUAGCACAAUGGGCGAAAGCUUGAUGCAGCGACGCCGCGUGAAGGAUGAAGUAUUUCGGUAUGUAAACUUCUAUCAGCAGGGAAGAAAAUGACGGUACCUGACUAAGAAGCCCCGGCUAACUACGUGCCAGCAGCCGCCGUAA